CACACAGACAUACUGACACACACACACACUGACAUACACACACAGACAUACUGGCAUACACACAGACAUACUGACGCACACACACACACUGACAUACACACACAGACAUACUGGCAUACACACAGACAUACUGACACACACACACACACACAGACAUACUGGCAUACACACAGACAUACUGACACACACACAGACAUACUGGCAUACACACAUAGGCAUACACACAGACAUACUGACACACACACACA
This is a non-coding RNA of Pelobates cultripes (western spadefoot toad), 248 nucleotides long. The record is from the annotation of a GenBank genome assembly. NCBI's taxonomy places the organism in Eukaryota, Metazoa, Chordata, Amphibia, Anura, Pelobatidae.